GCAACAGCACGAGUGCAGCAGUCAGAGCUGGGACACAGCGCAGCGCUGCUUUGGCUCCCCGUGUGAGUGUGAGCGCUCUCCCGAUGGCAGGACAUCACAGCACAGAGCCGCCCAGAUCGAGGCUGAGGGUGGAUGGGGCCCACG
Lagopus muta (rock ptarmigan) is the source of this 144-nucleotide long non-coding RNA. RefSeq lists it as uncharacterized. Lineage: Eukaryota; Metazoa; Chordata; Aves; Galliformes; Phasianidae. The record is from RefSeq and is a predicted model, not a curated record. The transcript is spliced from 3 exons.